Non-coding RNA from Bufo gargarizans (Asiatic toad), 691 nucleotides. Lineage: Eukaryota; Metazoa; Chordata; Amphibia; Anura; Bufonidae. The record is from the annotation of a RefSeq genome assembly.
GGCUGCUAGGCGCUCACCAGAACUCCAGUAAGUGCCCAAGUUUCCUCAAGCAGCUGAUCAUUGGGAGUGCCUAUUUGAAAAUCCUGGAAAACCCUUUAACAGCAUCACAAUGAUGAGGAGAGUAGUCGUAUGUGUCAUGUGACAUUACAGGAAAGACUGAGGUGCGGUGUGCAGUAAAUGUCACCUCUCCUCAGACACCUGAUGAUACAAGGUGCAGGGCACACAGCACACCAUGAUGUGGACUACUAGCAGGACUAUCCUUCCAGGACUCUUACUAGUCACCAUUAUUACAGAUGUGCAGGCAGAUUCUCAGGUGUCACAGGAUCCAGAGCUUCACAUUACAGAAGACCAAGAUGUCUCCCUGAAAUGUACUCACACAAUAACAACUUACCAGAUUCUGGUCUGGUACAAGCAACUCCCUGGACUCGGACUGGACAUCUGUGCUUAUGGUAUAGAUACACCUAACAACCUGCACUCCAAAUACUCUAUGACCAUGGAGAGAAGCUCUCUAAGUACUCAGCUUCAUAUAAAGAAUGUGAAGGGGGAGGACACAGCCGUGUAUUACUGUGCAGUGAGUGACACACUAGCAAGAAUUGCUCAAAAAUGCACUUACUAUUUUAGAGAGCAAGAUACAAAGAAGAUGGCAUCUGCCCCAAUAAGGGAUCAUUUCUGGACCCUUUUUAAACCUUAA